AAGGAUCAUUAACGAAGCCAUUUUUGGCAUCUAUUCUUUCAUUUCUGUGAACUUAUCUUUGCUUUGGGUGGGUGGAUAUGUGUUUAUUCAUUUUUCCAUCUGCCCAAAAUUUUAAACUCUUAACUUUUAUUGAAUUGUCUGACUGAUUAAAAAUAAAAAAAAUUAAUCAAAACUUUCAACAACGGAUCUCUUGGUUCUCGCAUCGAUGAAGAACGCAGCAAAACGCGAUAUGUAGUGUGAAUUGCAGAAUUUUGUGAAUCAUCGAAUCUUUGAACGCACAUUGCGCCCUUUGGUAUUCCAAAGGGCAUACCUGUUUGAGCGUCAUUUCUUUCUCAUUCUAAAUGGUUUUGUGUGUUUUUCGUUUCUGCAAAGAAAGGAUCACACUAAAUGUAAUGGCAUGAUUGUUAUUCUUGUGAAAGCGUUCUAGGUUUUCCAACUACGUAAUUAACAGAUGACAGUGGUCAGGCCUUUAUAACCACCUUUUAAAAUUUGACCUCAAAUCAGGCAAGAAUACCCGCUGAACUUAA
Molecule: ribosomal RNA, 527 nt
Rfam family: 5.8S ribosomal RNA (bases 171-324)